UACGAGGGGGGCGAGCGUUGUUCGGAAUUAUUGGGCGUAAAGAGCUCGUAGGCGGCUAGUCGCGUCGGCUGUGAAAACCUGGGGCUCAACCCCGGGCCUGCAGACGAUACGGGCUAGCUAGAAUUCGGUAGGGGAGACUGGAAUUCCUGGUGUAGCGGUGAAAUGCGCAGAUAUCAGGAGGAACACCGGUGGCGAAGGCGGGUCUCUGGGCCGAUAUUGACGCUGAGGAGCGAAAGCGUGGGGAGCGAACAGG
Molecule: ribosomal RNA, 253 nt
Filed under: uncultured bacterium
Lineage: Bacteria
Description: partial 16S ribosomal RNA
Rfam family: Bacterial small subunit ribosomal RNA
Source: RNAcentral